Mesocricetus auratus (golden hamster) is the source of this 678-nucleotide long non-coding RNA. RefSeq lists it as uncharacterized. The transcript is spliced from 3 exons. Lineage: Eukaryota; Metazoa; Chordata; Mammalia; Rodentia; Cricetidae. The record is from RefSeq and is a predicted model, not a curated record.
GCACCACCUAACCACAGGAGAAAGGCAAAACCUAGUUCUGACAGUCACCUACGUGUGUGUUAUAGUACGGGCAGCUGAGGCAGAGAAAAGUUAACUUAAAUCCUUCAGUUGCUGGCAUUUCAACAAGCAAUCCUCAUAACCAUUCAGGGAUGAAGCAGCAGAGGGCCUUCAACCAAGAGGAGAAAGGGCAGGGGAGAUUGAGAGCUGACCUGAGCUAAGAGCCCCUACAUUGAACUUCAAGGCUAAGAAGAGGGAGGCAAUUUCUGCCUAGAAGGACCUUAUGGUGAGCUUGAGGCUCUUCCCUGUCUGAUAAAAUUCAGAAUCCUCUGCUCAGGCCCCAAUCCUCUCUCUCCUCUAAUCUCCCUCUCAGUUAUUUCCUACUUUGGUAACCCCCAAGAGAAAAGCAACCUGAAUACUAAGCAGGAGCAGCAAAGAGCACAUCUGCUCUAACCUCUGUGUGACCCCGAUGCUGUAGCUGGGGAGACAUUUCAAGCAAGGAAGCUGUUGGCGUCAGUCUCCCUUGACGCCAGCAGGAAGGUGGAGCCCAGAAGCAGAUUUGUGGCUGACAGUCAUUUCCCCCAACAAGAAAGUCCCAGGAGGGCCAGGAAGCCAUUCCAACUGGAAAAAAUGUUUACUCAACAGCAUCAUGUGAAUUCUUAACCCACCUUGUCUGCACUA